Molecule: ribosomal RNA, 434 nt
Filed under: uncultured bacterium
Lineage: Bacteria
Description: bacterial SSU rRNA
Rfam family: Bacterial small subunit ribosomal RNA
Source: RNAcentral
AACGCGAAGAACCUUACCUGGACUAGAAUGUGAGGGAAGGACGUCUAAUAGCGUCCGUCCGAGUAAUCGGACCCAAAACAAGGUGCUGCAUGGCUGUCGUCAGCUCGUGUCGUGAGAUGUUGGGUUAAGUCCCGCAACGAGCGCAACCCUUAUUGACAGUUGCCAAUAUUAAGUUAGGAACUCUGUCAAGACUGCCGUUGAUAAAACGGAGGAAGGUGGGGACGAUGUCAAGUCAUCAUGGCCUUUAUGUUCAGGGCUACACACGUGCUACAAUGGAUGGUACAAAACGUCGCAAUCUCGCAAGAGGGAGCUAAUCGCAAAAACCAUUCUCAGUUCGGAUCGGAGUCUGCAACUCGACUCCGUGAAGUUGGAAUCGCUAGUAAUCGCAAAUCAGCAUGUUGCGGUGAAUACGUUCCCGGGUCUUGUACACACCG